CUCUCCCCAGAGACAUCCUGUGAAGAGCAGGUCUAAGUCCACAGAGGAGAUCCAGCAGGCAAAGAAGGCUUUCCACACCCCUCAGAAGUCUCUGCCUGGACGGUCAGACCUGGAAAAGGUGAAGGAGGGUCCAGAGGACUCAGAGACUGCAGCCCCGCCCACCGACGAGUCGAAGUGAUGUUUGAAAUAACCAUGAGGGCUCAAAACACUCCAAACACACACACGCACACAGACACAGACAGAUACACAUUUCCUCCCUCCCUCUUAAACAAAACGCAGAACACACACACA
Long non-coding RNA from Engraulis encrasicolus (European anchovy), 291 nucleotides. RefSeq lists it as uncharacterized. The transcript is spliced from 3 exons. Lineage: Eukaryota; Metazoa; Chordata; Actinopteri; Clupeiformes; Engraulidae. The record is from RefSeq and is a predicted model, not a curated record.